Molecule: ribosomal RNA, 312 nt
Filed under: Enterococcus faecalis
Lineage: Bacteria; Bacillati; Bacillota; Bacilli; Lactobacillales; Enterococcaceae
Also listed under: 1 other name
Description: partial 23S ribosomal RNA
Rfam family: Bacterial large subunit ribosomal RNA
Source: RNAcentral
GGUGAGAAUCCUGUCCACCGUAUGACUAAGGUUUCCUGGGGAAGGCUCGUCCGCCCAGGGUUAGUCGGGACCUAAGCCGAGGCCGAUAGGCGUAGGCGAUGGACAACAGGUUGAUAUUCCUGUACCAGUUGUUUUUGUUUGAGCAAUGGAGGGACGCAGUAGGCUAAGGAAUGCAUGCGAUUGGAAGUGCAUGUCCAAGCAAUGAGUCUUGAGUAGAGUUAAAUGCUUUACUCUCUAAGGACAAGUUGUGACGGGGAGCGAAAUAAUAGUAGCGAAGUUCCUGAUGUCACACUGCCAAGAAAAGCUUCUAGU